This 443-nucleotide ribosomal RNA is filed under the name uncultured bacterium. RNAcentral's name for it is "bacterial SSU rRNA". It matches the Rfam family "Bacterial small subunit ribosomal RNA", at positions 29 to 506 of the family's 1533-position model. The record is from RNAcentral.
ACGAACGCUGGCGGUAUGCUUAACACAUGCAAGUCGAACGAAUUAAUCUAGCUUGCUAGAUUAGUUAUUGGCAAACGGGUGAGUAACACGUGGGAAUCUACCCAGUAGUAUGGAAUAACAGUUAGAAAUGACUGCUACUACCAUAUAGUAUCGAGAGAUUAAAGAUUUAUCGCUACUGGAUGAGCCCGCGUCAGAUUAGGUAGUUGGUGGGGUAAUGGCCUACCAAGCCAAAGAUCUGUAGCUGGUCUGAGAGGAUGAUCAGCCACACUGGAACUGAGACACGGUCCAGACUCCUACGGGAGGCAGCAGUGAGGAAUAUUGGACAAUGGGCGAAAGCCGGAGCCAGCAAUACCGCGGGAGUGAAGAAGGCCUUAGGGUGGUAAAGCUAUUUCAGCAGGGAAAAGUAUGAUGGUACCUGAAGAAGAAGUCCCGGCUAACUCCGU